RNAcentral lists this ribosomal RNA (407 nucleotides) under uncultured bacterium. Its description in RNAcentral is "bacterial SSU rRNA". It matches the Rfam family "Bacterial small subunit ribosomal RNA", at positions 355 to 776 of the family's 1533-position model. The record is from RNAcentral.
UUAGGAAUCUUGCGCAAUGGGGGGAACCCUGACGCAGCGACGCCGCGUGAAUGAUGAAGUCUUUCGGGAUGUAAAGUUCUGUCCUACAGGGAAGAAUAGAUGACGGUACCUGUAGAGAAAGCCCCGGCUAACUACGUGCCAGCAGCCGCGGUAAUACGUAGGGGGCGAGCGUUGUCCGAAUUUAUUGGGCGUAAAGCGCGUGUAGGCGGUUUUUUAAGUCAGGUGUGAAAUCCCGCAGCUCAACUGCGGAACUGCACUUGAUACUGGAAGGCUUGAGAGUGGGAGAGGAAAGUGGAAUUCCUGGUGUAGCGGUGAAAUGCGUAGAUAUCAGGAGGAACACCCGUGGCGAAGGCGGCUUUCUGGCCCACUUCUGACGCUGAGACGCGAAAGCCAGGGGAGCGAACGGG